CACCAGGUUAGGGUCACUGGGAGGCAGGCUGUGAGAUGCCGUGGGGAAGCCCUUGCUGACGGAACAUUUGUCAGAAGCCCACAGCACACAGUACUGUGGUCUGCACGUCCAUCGUCUCAGCCGAUUCUCCCAGCAACCCUAUAAAGUCAAUAUUCUUCACACCAUCUUUUGCACGAGGAAGUCAAGGCUUAGAGCAGUCACGUGACUUCAGAGUUGCUGAGGAGAACAGGAUCCAGAUCAGAAUCCAAGCCUUCCAGGAACACCUCUGCUUAAUCCAUAGUCCAGGGAGUUCAAUCAUGUGUCCUGGCCACAUGGCUACAGAGAAGAUGGCUGUUUCAGAAAGACCACUACAAUGUCGUGCCAUAUCAAGCUAGGGUAUUGUGUCACUCAUUGUAGGGACUCUGAGAUUUCUUAGCCCAGGAAGCAGAUGAUCUUUGGAAAGUUCACCACCACAUCUGGAGAGAAAGGACCUAAUACACACAUGAAAUUGCUACUGGUCUUCAAAACACUGACACAGCCAUGGAAAUUUGCUGUGUGAAGAGGCUUUGCCAGAUAUGCUGUUCAUGAGUUCUUUAGGAAUGCUUCCUGGUCCUCUUAAGCUCCCGAAGUCACAUAUGCAUGAGAUAUGGAAGAAAAGGCAUGUAUGAAAAAAUACCUGUACAAAAAUGAAGACUGUCUCAUUUAAAA
Non-coding RNA from Ictidomys tridecemlineatus (thirteen-lined ground squirrel), 687 nucleotides. The record is from RefSeq and is a predicted model, not a curated record. NCBI's taxonomy places the organism in Eukaryota, Metazoa, Chordata, Mammalia, Rodentia, Sciuridae.